CCUACGGGUGGCAGCAGUGAGGAAUAUUGGUCAAUGGACGCAAGUCUGAACCAGCCAUGCCGCGUGCAGGAAGACGGCUCUAUGAGUUGUAAACUGCUUUUGUACGAAGGUAAACGCAGAUACGCGUAUCUGUCUGACAGUAUCGUACGAAUAAGUAUCGGCUAACUCCUUGCCAGCAGCCGCGGUAAUACGGAGGAUUCAAGCGUUAUCCGGAUUUCUUGGUGUUAAGGGGUGCGUGGGCGGAUGGUUAAGUCAGUGUUCAAAUUGAGGGGCUCAACCCCUUCCCGCCAUUGAAACUGGCGCUCUUGAGUGGAAGAGAGGUAUGCGGAAUGCGUGGUGUAGCGGUGAAAUGCGUAGAUAUCACGCAGAACCCCGAUGGCGAAGGCAGCAUGCCGGCUUCCGACUGACGCUGAAGCACGAAAGCGUGGGGAUCGAACAGGAUUAGAUACCCGAGUAGUC
This 459-nucleotide ribosomal RNA is filed under the name uncultured bacterium. RNAcentral's name for it is "partial 16S ribosomal RNA". It matches the Rfam family "Bacterial small subunit ribosomal RNA", at positions 338 to 795 of the family's 1533-position model. The record is from RNAcentral.